Gossypium raimondii (Peruvian cotton) is the source of this 145-nucleotide non-coding RNA. NCBI's taxonomy places the organism in Eukaryota, Viridiplantae, Streptophyta, Magnoliopsida, Malvales, Malvaceae. The record is from Rfam.
UGUUAAAAAUUCCAUCCAUUUAUAUUGUUAAAAACGGGUAUGAUUGACAGAAUAACUAGAUAGUGACUCGUAGCAUGCCAUGUGUAUCUCAUGUUGAUGUAUAAGGACCAGUUUUUAACAAUAAAAAUAGAUGAAAUUUUUAACC